GAUGAACGCUAGCGGCAGGCCUAAUACAUGCAAGUCGAACGGGAUCCAGAUCAAAGCUUGCUUGGUUUGGGGGGGAGGGGCGACGGGUGCGUAAACGCGUGGCCAACCAACCUUUGUAAGGGGAUUACCCGGGCAAAAUUGGAAUAAAAACCCAAGGCCACCAUGAGGGGGAUUUUUCGAAUGACCAAAAUUUUAUGGACCAAGGUGGGGUCGCGUGACCUUAGCUAGUUGGUAAGGGAACGGGUUACCAAGGCUACGAUGUCUAGGGGCUCUGAGAGGAGAAUCCCCCACACUGGUACUGAGACACGGACCAGACUCCUACGGGAGGCAGCAGUAAGGAAUAUUGGUCAAUGGACGGAAGUCUGAACCAGCCAUGCCGCGUGCAGGAAGACGGCCCUAUGGGUUGUAAACUGCUUUUAUACGGGAACAAACGUCGGUACGUGUACCGGUCUGAGUGUACCGUAAGAAUAAGGAUCGGCUAACUCCGUG
RNAcentral lists this ribosomal RNA (489 nucleotides) under uncultured bacterium. RNAcentral's name for it is "partial 16S ribosomal RNA". It matches the Rfam family "Bacterial small subunit ribosomal RNA", at positions 28 to 507 of the family's 1533-position model. The record is from RNAcentral.